GGCCGUCUAGCUCAGUUGGUUAGAGCGCCGUGCUAAUAUUCAGAGUUCAUUCUUGAUUUACGCGGAGGUCUUGGGUUCGACCCCCACGAUGGCCA
Mycena olivaceomarginata is the source of this 95-nucleotide non-coding RNA. NCBI's taxonomy places the organism in Eukaryota, Fungi, Basidiomycota, Agaricomycetes, Agaricales, Mycenaceae. The record is from the annotation of a GenBank genome assembly.